RNAcentral lists this long non-coding RNA (274 nucleotides) under Sorghum bicolor (sorghum). RNAcentral's name for it is "long non-coding RNA (SBIC_LNC015333)". The record is from RNAcentral. Lineage: Eukaryota; Viridiplantae; Streptophyta; Magnoliopsida; Poales; Poaceae.
AGGCGAUGGAGGUUCUUGCAAGCGAGCUCACGAUCUAGUGGGGUGGUGGCGGAUUUUGUGAGGUGAGUUUGGCUUCUCUUUGAUUUUGUAGUUUCUUGUGACUGCACCUCACAUACUCUAUCUCUAUUUCUCUUUUCUCUUUUCAAUUGAAGGGCAUGGCUAGGUCAACAGUUGUGGUGGGCUCGAGAGUGGCAUGAUUGGUGGCGUGGGGCUCAAUGACACUUUUUUGUUUUUAGGGGAUUUACAGAGGCAGGCAUGUGCUCCUUCUCGGUUG